AUUGAACGCUGGCGGCAUGCCUUACACAUGCAAGUCGAACGGCAGCACGGGUGCUUGCACCUGGUGGCGAGUGGCGAACGGGUGAGUAAUAUAUCGGAACGUACCUUAUUGUGGGGGAUAACGCAGCGAAAGCUGUGCUAAUACCGCAUAAUCCCUACGGGGGAAAGCGGGGGACCGUAAGGCCUCGCGCAAUUAGAGCGGCCGAUACCUGAUUCGCUAGUUGGUGAGGUAAAGGCUCACCAAGGCAACGAUCAGUAGCUGGUCUGAGAGGACGAUCAGCCACACUGGGACUGAGACACGGCCCAGACUCCUACGGGAGGCAGCAGUGGGGAAUUUUGGACAAUGGGGGCAACCCUGAUCCAGCAAUGCCGCGUGAGUGAAGAAGGCCUUCGGGUUGUAAAGCUCUUUUGUCAGGGAAGAAACAGCAGCUCUAACACAGUUUGCGAAUGACGGUACCUGAGGAAUAAGCACCGGCUAACUACGUGCCAGCCGCCGCGGUAA
RNAcentral lists this ribosomal RNA (501 nucleotides) under uncultured bacterium. Its description in RNAcentral is "partial 16S ribosomal RNA". It matches the Rfam family "Bacterial small subunit ribosomal RNA", at positions 30 to 523 of the family's 1533-position model. The record is from RNAcentral.